RNAcentral lists this transfer RNA (57 nucleotides) under Bos taurus (domestic cattle). It matches the Rfam family "tRNA", at positions 8 to 63 of the family's 71-position model. Rfam says of the family: Transfer RNA (tRNA) molecules are approximately 80 nucleotides in length. The record is from Rfam by way of RNAcentral. RNAcentral also lists the same sequence under 2 other names. Lineage: Eukaryota; Metazoa; Chordata; Mammalia; Artiodactyla; Bovidae.
UGGCUCAGAGGGUAAAGCAUCUGCCUGAAGUGCAGGAGACCCGGGUUUGAUCCCUGG